GGUGAGGAAGAGCCGAAGAACGUACACAAAGGGGAGGGCAGCUCGGCGGCGCUCUUAUACCAGCCUCCCCGCGCCGCUCUCCUUGCGCGCCGCUGCCGCCGGUGACUCACGGACGCCUGGGCGGCCUCUGGUUGGCUCGCGAGCGCCUCCAAUCCCAACCGGCUGCCCUAAUUUCCUGAUCCACGCAACCUGCCGCCGCAGCUGAGAGCGUUUCGCCCGGCAACCAGACGCUGCGUUGCUGCCUGCGCUCGCUCCCUCGGCCGAACCAGCGCCGCCGCCGCCUCUCUGGACCAGCUGCUGAGGAGGAGGAGGAGGCACGCAGGUGAAGUCUUUGAUCUGCCACCUCGCCUGCACGCUGUUUGAGGCUCUCGGCUCUUUGUGGGGCUGUGCAUGAUGGCAUUCAGGGCAUGAUCUUACUAUAUACAUGCCGCUGGUGUUAAUGUUGGCAUAGGCGCCAGCGUUAGAUGAUCCAAAGCGGGUUUUCAAGGAAGCGAUUUCCAACCCGCCUUGUUUUACUUCCAGGAAUUCACUAGAACAGCAACAGAAGUUGGAGCUAUGAGGAUAACUUCAGUAGGCUUGUCCUACCAUAACCAAAUUACAGCAAGUAACAACCAGCUCCCUCAGAGUGGAAAAACUGAGGCACUAAUAUUUGCAGGAACACAUUUAAAAUUCAAAACCAACAGGACAGGAAGACUGCAUGAUCUUUUAACUUCUGUGGAGAAAAUGUGUUAAAACAAAGAUGGGUGUUUCUUUUGAUGCAAAUACCGAGCUAUUUAAUUGUCUUCACCUACACAGUAUGAAUGGGGGCUUUUGCUGUUGUCACUGAAGUAUGAUAAUCCUUUUGGUGCUCGAGAAAAUUUCUAGGAAUACUGUGAACAGCCAAGAAAACAGAAAUGGAUCACCAAAGAAAUCAACCUAUAGGUCUUACUCGGGCACAAAUGACUACCUUCAAAUUAUCCUACUUUGGACACAUUGUGCAAAGAUGUAGCUUUUUAAGAAGGCUAUAUUACUGGGAAGGGGAGAAUGAAAUGGAAGAAGAGAAUGACCAGCAACAAAGUAGAAAAACCAGGUUAGGGACAAUCGUGAACAAAUUUUUUCCAAGUGUUGACACCUACUUGAUGACACAUCAAUUAAAUAUGCAUAUAGCAAAAUGAGAUGUUGUCUCCUUAUAACUGAGUGCUAUUUAGAUUGAUGGGACUUAUCCUCAGCAAAGUUUAUAGAAUUAUAUUUUGUAGCCGUAGUGGACAGAAUAUGUUCUCUCAGUAAUUGCCUUCAAUAUCUUCCCCACAAGUAGGUGUGUUAAUGGAGAUCAUGCACAUUUGUAAAAAGGAUUAACCAGGAGCAGCCUACAGUUUGAAAAAUAAGGUAGAACUCUGAGCACAGAUGGCUACGUGUCCUAAUAAUAGUUUAAACAGAGAGAUGCAAAAUAUUAGAUUAUAGUGAAAUAAUCCCUUAUCACAAAGGUCUGGAUCUGUUUUGAUGUUUACAUUAAAUGUAUUUGAGAAAUAAUGGAAAACCUGACCAAAUCUUCGCAAAUUGUUUAAAAAAGAAAAGAAUUAUUACAGCUAUUAAAUUAUUAGAGUUAAUAAGGGAUAAAAUAAGUUACAAUUCAUUUAGAGACAUAAAUUCUAAAAUCUGUACAGUCAGCCCGACAAUCUCAUGAGGAUACAGAGGCUUUUUUAACCAAAAUUGAUCACCUGCAAUUAGUAAUUAGCCCUAGGAAGAAGGCAAUGGCAAACUACUUUUAGAAAACCUUGCCAAGAAAACUACAAGAAAUUUGUCCUUGGAGAAUCAGACAUCCUUGAAGGGAAGAAAGAAAAUGGGAGAAGCUGUGUUAUAAUUUAAUAACGCUUAUAUUACAGUUAUUCCCAUCUAACUAACCUCAUAUUUUAACUUACAAUUAUCAGUUUAUUUCUUGAUUAAUGUCCAAAUAGUUAUUUCAGCAAAUAGAUUGCAAAAAGUUAUACCUUUGGUAAUUAAAAAUGAUUAAGUUAGCUUUUUAAAAAACAGACACUGAUCAGACAAUAUUCAACAUGGUAGAUUUGAUUAAUUUGAAUAGAAAUAAGGAGUUAUAUAGAAAUAGCAGUUAUAUCCUUGGGAUCUUGAAAAAGCAUUUGGCAAUAGGAAAAGAUAUUAACAUUAAUACCAAAAACUUCAAUGAAGUUUAAACUACAUCUUCUGCAACGAAAAUAAUAUUUCAGGCUUAUUGAUCAGUGUAGGAGUAAAUCAUCUUGCAACUGGAAAUCAAUGAGAUUAAUACUGUAAACACAGGUUUGUACAAUUGACUAUAGUUUAUCUUUCUGGGGGAAAAGUUAUUACUUGUAUUAACUGAACUGUAAGGAUGGAGUUUUAAUAUUCUCAACUGUUCAUCUUCCCUUUGCCAUACCUCUAUUGUAUGGAGAUUGACAUCUGACAAAGAAAUAUUAUCUAUCACACUUAUCUAACAUUGGAUGGAUAAAUAUAUGGCUCCAAUUACUCAGUGGUUUACAGAGUUGGUUUUAUUAACAACAGAUGAACCAAUUUCUUUUUGACAUAUAUUAAAUAUGGAUGAUUUUAAUGAAAUUUAGCUACUCUUUACUGAAAUUGUAAUUUUUAUAUAUUAAGAUGUAUCUACCAUAAAUAUACACCCUGUGGUUUUUAAUCUGUUUUUAUUCUUUAUAACUUACUGCAUUUAAUUAAUAGAGUAAUAAAAUACAUUACAUGA
Molecule: long non-coding RNA, 2704 nt
Organism: Crotalus tigris (Tiger rattlesnake)
Lineage: Eukaryota; Metazoa; Chordata; Lepidosauria; Squamata; Viperidae
Exons: 3
Source: RefSeq, a predicted model, not a curated record